GACGAACGCUGGCGGCGUGCUUAACACAUGCAAGUCGAACGGACAGGCCCUGCUUUUGUGGGGUGCUCGAGUGGCGAACGGGUGAGUAACACGUGAGUAACCUGCCCUUGACUUUGGGAUAACAUCAGGAAACUGGGGCUCAUACCGGAUAGGAGCUCCUGCUGCAUGGGGGGGGUUGGAAAGUUUCGGCGGUGGGGGAUGGACUGGAGGGUUAUCCGCUUGUUGGUGGGGUAGUGGCUUACCAGGGCUUUGACGGGUAGCCGGCGUGGGAGGGUGACCGGCCACAUGGGUACUGCGAUACGCAGCAGUCGCCAACGGGAGGCAGCAGGGGGGAAUAUGGCACAAUGGGGGGAAGCCUGAUGCAGCAGCGCCGCGUGCGUGAUGACGGCUUUCGGGUUGUAAACCGCUUUCGCCGGUGACGAAGCGUGAGUGACGGUAAUGGGUAAAGAAGCACCGGCUAACUACGUG
Molecule: ribosomal RNA, 468 nt
Filed under: uncultured bacterium
Lineage: Bacteria
Description: partial 16S ribosomal RNA
Rfam family: Bacterial small subunit ribosomal RNA
Source: RNAcentral